Carica papaya (papaya) is the source of this 399-nucleotide non-coding RNA. Lineage: Eukaryota; Viridiplantae; Streptophyta; Magnoliopsida; Brassicales; Caricaceae. The record is from RefSeq and is a predicted model, not a curated record.
CUGCAUUACUCUAUCUUGUUCCUUGUACACUAGGUCUUACCGUCGUAUUGGGUCUGGUGAGAGGAGAGUUGAAGGACCUCUGGAGUUAUGGCGCGGAAUCGAAGUCAGAAAGCAAUCCUUCAGAAGCUUGAAUUACUGAGUUAAUAUCUGUAAUAUCGUGUGGUGUAAGGUUGGUUUAAUAUGGUUAUGGAGGUUUUUGUAUCAUAUUAAAUUGCUGGGGAAGGAUGCGGCCAAAUGUAAGUUGCCAAAUCCAUUUAUUCUUCUGUUGCAUUCCGUCUUUUGUUGUAUCUAUUAUCUGAAACACUUAAUAGAGAGUUUACAAGAGGCAUUUAAAUAGUUUCUUGUUUAGAGGUUAGCUUUAAUUUCCCUUAUUCCCAGUAAAUAUUAUCAAAAGGCUAA